Molecule: long non-coding RNA, 522 nt
Filed under: Androctonus crassicauda
Lineage: Eukaryota; Metazoa; Arthropoda; Arachnida; Scorpiones; Buthidae
Source: RNAcentral
AGAGAUAGUAAGUUACCAGAUUUUCUGAAGGGCUCAUAUGUAAGAUCCCCAAGACCCCUGAGGCUCUUUAUGUUUAUAAAAAGGCAGAAACAUCCUCUAGAAGCAAGGCCGUAGUUGAGAAAAUUUUGGCCCGACAUAUACAUUGGAAAAAAGAAUUGCUAAAUGGUGCUCCAACAGACUUAGAGAUUAUGAAUAUAUCACCUUAUCUUCAACUGAUUUUAUAGAAAAUCUAUUAGAGAGAGGGCCUCUCCCUGACCAAAUCAUGCAGGUCUAUGAUUUCAAGGCCCUAUAUCCUUCAGUAAAACUCAAACCCACUUGCCUACUUCUGUAUAGGUUUAUGUUACAGCACUUGCCUGAUAGUCAAUGUGAUCCAAAGUUAAUAAGAAGAAUUUGCCACUUAGUAGUGCAUAAAUCCUAUUUUAAAUACGAUAAUAUUUUUUAUGAGCAAACAAUUGGGGUCCCUAUAGGCAACUCCUUAGCAGGGGUGUUAGCCGAAAUGGUCGUACGCUACAAAGAGACUAU